This 71-nucleotide transfer RNA is filed under the name Loxodonta africana (African savanna elephant). It matches the Rfam family "tRNA". From Rfam's summary of the family: Transfer RNA (tRNA) molecules are approximately 80 nucleotides in length. Their secondary structure includes four short double-helical elements and three loops (D, anti-codon, and T loops). Further hydrogen bonds mediate the characteristic L-shaped molecular structure. tRNAs have two regions of fundamental functional importance: the anti-codon, which is responsible for specific mRNA codon recognition, and the 3' end, to which the tRNAs corresponding amino acid is attached (by aminoacyl-tRNA synthetases). tRNAs cope with the degeneracy of the genetic code in two manners: having more than one tRNA (with a specific anti-codon) for a particular amino acid; and 'wobble' base-pairing, i.e. permitting non-standard base-pairing at the 3rd anti-codon position. The record is from Rfam by way of RNAcentral. Lineage: Eukaryota; Metazoa; Chordata; Mammalia; Proboscidea; Elephantidae.
GCAGUAGUGGUUCAGUGGUAGAAUUCUCGCCUUCCAUGCAGGAGACCCACGUUCAAUUCCUGGCCCGUGCA